Molecule: long non-coding RNA, 280 nt
Filed under: Elaeis guineensis (African oil palm)
Lineage: Eukaryota; Viridiplantae; Streptophyta; Magnoliopsida; Arecales; Arecaceae
Description: long non-coding RNA (EGUI_LNC060899)
Source: RNAcentral
CAUGCUCCACUAUCUCAUCCCCCAGUCUGCAUGAUGGGCAAGUGGACUAGAGGUCUAUGCCUCUAUCCCUUAGAAUAGACCUAGUGGGAUGAUGACCCCAGGCAAUCUUCUAUAAAAACAUGCUCAUCCUUGAAUGCAUUCUACUCCUCCAAAUCUACCCAACAUCCAACAAUCUUGUGGGCUCUAUCUGAUAUAAUCAAUAAAGGUCGGUGAUCACUAUUUUCUAGGUAUAGGAUGAUCUCUAGACCCUCACAUCAUGGCUGCUAUGGAAAGGAACCAC